Long non-coding RNA from Drosophila miranda, 443 nucleotides. RefSeq lists it as uncharacterized. The record is from RefSeq and is a predicted model, not a curated record. The transcript has 2 exons. NCBI's taxonomy places the organism in Eukaryota, Metazoa, Arthropoda, Insecta, Diptera, Drosophilidae.
ACAUUUCCUAUUUUAUUUUAGUCUCAAGCAGACGUCGACACGUUCACAGUUAAAUUUCUCAGUAAUUCGUUAUGAUUUCUGGGAAAACACAGUCAACACAAACUCGCAAAACAGAAUUUCGAGAAACACCACCCCCAACACAAGUGGAUUGAAUCUACGGGAUUCGAUAAAGCGCAUAGGUAGGCCCGUCAUGACACUGAUGGAGGUACAGAGCAGAAGCUGAAGGACGCCUUACUGUGAAGGCAACUCUUGAUGCUGCUAUCCGCUUGGGAUACCUGCGGACCCACCACGCUACGAUGACGAUGACGAUACAGCGGUGGAUCGUUCAAACGCAAUGAUCUUCGAUGUUGGCGAGACUAGACUACUUAUCUCGACACUUUUUUGUCGGUUUGAGUUGGUUGUGCGUGGCUCGGAAUCAUAAUUAAUUACUGAGAAACAUUUAA